GGAUGUGAGGGCAAUCUGGCUGCAACAUCUGUCACCCCACUGAUUGCCAGGGUUGAUCUGGCUGGCUAGGCGGGUAUCCGCUUCCUCCCUCACCGCUCCAUGUGUGUCCUUCCCAAAGCUGUGUGCUCGGACAAAGAGGAUGACCUUCCCUGAUAGAGGAGGGCCGUUCCUUGGUCAAGGGUAUAUGAGUAGGUGUGCUCCCCCCUAGAACCUCCAAACAAACUCUCAAGACAAAAACAAGACCACUCCAUAACCAUGUCUGAACACGGACAGAAUAU
Molecule: small nuclear RNA, 278 nt
Filed under: Equus caballus (horse)
Lineage: Eukaryota; Metazoa; Chordata; Mammalia; Perissodactyla; Equidae
Description: 7SK RNA
Rfam family: 7SK RNA
About the family: 7SK was discovered as an abundant small nuclear RNA in the mid-70s but a possible function has only recently been suggested.
Source: Rfam by way of RNAcentral